AAUUAAAAAAAAAAACAAUUUAAUCUAUUAAAAAAUGGAGGAAAAACAUAAAUACUUCAUGAUUAUGAUAAUCAGUAACGAAAGAGAGGAUAGAUACACAUGCGAAAGUCAAUAAAUUGUGAAAAAUCCUCGAUACACUUGUCUCUCCUAGGAAUUCAUUCUAAUGUAGCACUAAUCAAAACCCAUGAUCGAUGAAGAAUCACAUGCUCCUCUUUCUUCCUUUGAAUCUCAUCAGGGUAGCACAAAAAAAAACCCAUAAAAAUGACCCCGAAAAGAAGGGGGGGGGGGGGGGGGGGGGGGGGGGGGGGGGA
Molecule: long non-coding RNA, 311 nt
Filed under: Glycine max (soybean)
Lineage: Eukaryota; Viridiplantae; Streptophyta; Magnoliopsida; Fabales; Fabaceae
Description: long non-coding RNA (GMAX_LNC001188)
Source: RNAcentral